ACGAACGCUGGCGGCGCGCCUAAUACAUGCAAGUCGAGCGAGAAGACGUAGCAAUACGUUUGUAAAGCGGCGAACGGGUGAGGAAUACAUGGGUAACCUACCCUCGAGUGGGGAAUAACUAGCCGAAGGUUAGCUAAUACCGCGUACGCUCCUUGGACUUCGGUUCAGGGAGGAAAGCGAUACCGUGGGUAUCGCGCUCUUGGAUGGGCUCAUGUCCUAUCAGCUUGUUGGUGAGGAACGGCUCACCAAGGCUUCGACGGUAGCUGGUCUGAGAGGACAAUCAGCCACACUGGCACUGCGACACGGGCCAGACUCCUACGGGAGGCAGCAGUAAGGAAUAUUGCGCAAUGGGCGAAAGCCUGACGCAGCGACGCCGCGUGGGGGAUGAAGGUCUUCGGAUUGUAAA
RNAcentral lists this ribosomal RNA (406 nucleotides) under uncultured bacterium. RNAcentral describes it as "bacterial SSU rRNA". It matches the Rfam family "Bacterial small subunit ribosomal RNA", at positions 29 to 429 of the family's 1533-position model. The record is from RNAcentral.